Molecule: long non-coding RNA, 4587 nt
Organism: Pan troglodytes (chimpanzee)
Lineage: Eukaryota; Metazoa; Chordata; Mammalia; Primates; Hominidae
Exons: 4
Source: RefSeq, a predicted model, not a curated record
AGAAGGAGCGAAUAAAGCAGACUGCACAGAUGGAACAUGGAAAGGCUUUUAACAGAAAUGAAUACUUUCAGACCAGUUUUGAAGGACUGAGUAGGAGUAAACUAAAAGAGAAAAAGCAGGACAAAAGAAGCACCACUUUGGAAGCUCAAAGCCGCACUGGAAACACAGUCUUUCAGGAUGUCUGAAAGGGGCAAGUCUGUUUGUGUGGGGUAAGAAAUGCGGGGAGACAAACGGACAGUGGACAGAUUGCAGAGAGCUCUGUGUGCUGAGAGGAGGGUGCAGACCAGAUUUUUAAAUUGAGAAUGCAACAGUGAAGGAUUUCAAGCUUGGAGUGAGAGGGGAGACUACGAGCCUGCAGUGAUAAGGCAAAGCUGAAGAUUUCAGAGCCAAGGCCACACCCUACAGUUGCCAUGGAAUGGGGUGGCACAGUGGGCUUUGGAGGCUGGGGAGCUGUGCUUUGGAAAAGCAAUGAGGAGGUAACAGGAAGUCUCUUCUUCUAAAUCCUGUGUUCAUGGAGGAGGGUGGGUUUUCUCCUCUUGAGAGGGAGUUACAUACAAGUUUAAGGGAAAAGAGUCUGAAGUUUCCACCUAAAUGAUUCUGAAAGAAUCAGAUAUACAGGGAGUCCACGGAGCCUCCCCUGCAAGCAUCAGUACAGAAGUCGAUGAUAAUCUGGAUGCAAGCCCAGGAGUGUGGAGUCCACUGACUCAGAAGACCUGCAUCUAAGGAAUUGGCUGUUCUUAUCCUUAAGAAUGAUGACUGUGUUUCCAAUUCCAGUAGACCCUUUGAUGCGUUCUGAAUAAAUAUUCCUUUUGGAAUUGAACUUCUAGAGCCCUUAACUUUGGCCCACUCUAGUUUUCUGUCUGUUUUUUUUUUAAAUAUUUUUUUUGUAAAGAUAAGGUCUUGCUUUGUUGCCCAGGCUGGUCUUGAAUUCCUGGACUCAAGCAAUCCACCUGCCUUGGCCUCCCAAAGUGCUGGGAUUAUAGGUGUGAACCAUUGUGUCCGAUCGCUCUCUGGUUUUUCUAAUAUCAUGAUCCCAACUCUGUUCUUUAUGUAAAUUUCCCUGAUCACAUGGUUGCAUCUUGGCAUUUCAAAAUCCUUAACAGACUUUGUUUUGUUUGAAUUUUACAAUGAACUUACAUGACUAGGCAUGGUCCCCAGUUCAGUUUUAUAGACAAGGAUUCUGUAGGUCAAGAAGUGAAACACAACCAAUAACAGCAGGUGACAGGAUUUAAACCUGGGUCACUUUACUUAUUUUUUUCUACUCUAUCAUUAUGUGAAUCUAUCCUACCUCUGCAAUGACAGAUGGCCCUAGAGCAAGAACACUUCCUUACAUCUGGUAUACAGUCAAAAAGUAAAAAUUCCACACAAAUAAAUAUGGAAAGAAUUUUUACCUGCUCCUAUAGCUUCCUUUCAGGGACCUGGAACCCACAAAUGUUGGGUAACAGAAAGAGGACUUAUGUAACUUAACUCAAAGCAGAAAAGUUACAGAGACUGUCUUAGCAUAAUAGAACAUGGAGUGGUCAUGCUUGGAUGUGCAAACUGUCUGAUAGCCUUGCACAUGGCUUGACCCCGAAUUACACUAGUGGGGCAAGUUGCCUGGGGCAAAGCAAACUUAUUGGACCCAAAGCUCUCAUUUGAGAAUUUUGUUGCCUAAAAGUUAUAAAAUAUCAGCAAUUUCAUAUGGUUCAGCCUAAUAUUUUAUCACUCUUCCUUUUUCUAUUCUAAAACAAUAAUUUUUAAUAAUGUAAGCUAUACACAUACAUGCUUUAAACAUACAACACCCUGACUAUCAUACAGUGGAUAUUUCAAGAAGUAAAUGUUCAGCAUGUCUUCACCCCCACUUGAAGACAUAAUGUAUGUAUUAGGCUGUUCUGGCAUUGCUAUAAAGAAAUACCUGAGACUGUGUAAUUUAUAAGAAAAGAGCUUUAAUUGGCUCACGGUUCUGCAGGCUGUACAGGAAACAUAUUGGGUCUACUUCUGUGGAGGCUUCAGGGAACUUUGACUCAUGGUGGAAGGUGAAAUGGGAGCAGGCACCUCAUGUGACUGAAGCAGGAGCAAGAAAGAGAGAGCGAGCGAGGUGCCACACACUCUUAAACAACCAGAACUCUCUCUUGAGAAUUCACUCACUGUCUUGCCGUCAGCACCAAAGGGAUGGUCCUAAACCAUUCAUGAGAAAUCCUCCUCCAUGAUCCAAUCACCUCUCACCAGGCCCUACCCCCAACACUGGGAUUACAAUUCAACCUGAGAUUUGGGCCUGGACACAGAUCCAAACCCUAUCAAUAUAUUAGCCAGACACUUGCAGCUGUAUGAAGAAUACCCUGGUUACCCAGCUACAAAUGCAGAAGUUAUUGAUAAGGAAGGGGGGCAGGGAAGUGCUGGGAGGAGAAAGGCAGGUCUCUGGCAAGGGCUUCACCCCGGUGCCUGUGCCCACAGACCUAGGUAAGGGCAGGCACUCCUGCCUUUGCGCCCAAAUGUUGCAUUUCCCAAGACCACCCUGGCCCACCACGCCCCCAUCCUGUGCCUAUAAAAACCCCGAAACACUAGUGGGCACUCACACAAGCGGCUGGACGUCCAGAGGACGUCAACAAGAGCACGCCGACAGGCAGACCCUGGCAGGCCAUCGACUGGCGGAAGGACAUGGAGUUUGGCUGCGUGGUUGGAGAAGAGCCAGGCCGCUAGGUGGCCUGACUCCAGGAAAAUACACCUUCCCACUCCAUCUCUCUUCUGUCUCCCCUGUCUGCUCACAGCUACUUCCUCUCAAUAAAACCUUGAACUCAUUCUCCAAGCCCACGUGUGAUCUGAUUCUUCCGGUACACCAAGGCAAGGACCCUGGGAUACAGAAAGUCCUCUGUCCUUGAGAUAAGCCAGGGGGUCUAAUUGAGCUGACUAACACAAGUCGCCUACAGAUGGCAAAACUAAAAGAGCACCCUGUAACACACGUGUGCCCACUGGGGCUUCAGCUGUAAACAUUCACCCCUAGACACUGCUCUUGGGUUGGAGCCCCACAACCCAGCCGUCCGCAUGCUCCCCUAGAGGUUUGAGCAGUGGGGCACGGAAGAAGCGAGCCACUCCUCCUGUUGCACACCCUGCGGGUGGCGCAAGGGAACGUUUCCUGUUUCAUCAUCAGGGAUAUUGUAUCGGUGUCUUAAAUAACACUAGCAUUUUGACAUAUUUGGAGCUGUUACUGGGCCAGCUCUGUUUCCAGGCCUGCCUUUCAAUCUUUUCCUUGCUUCUGGCAUGAGUUACCAUCUCUUUUAAGAAAUUGGUUAUGCAUUUGAAAAUACACGUAGCUAUACAUACUUUAAACAUAUCAUUUAGCAAGGAUGCUCCUUAUCGGACCGUCUUUCACGUUGCUGGGAACAGAGAACACGACAGUUCCAGCCAUGAUAAAAUCCAGUGGCUUAAGACUAGAAAACCCAGAAACAAAUCCAUACAUCUGUAGUGAACUCAUUUUUGACAAAUGUGGCAAGAACACACAUUGGGGAAAGGACUUGUUUCUUCAAUAAGUGGUGCUGGGAAAAUUGGGUAUCUGUAUGCUGAAAAACAAAACUAGACCCGUAUGUCUCGCCAUAUACAAAAAUCAAAUCAAAAUGUAUUAAAGACUUAAAUCUAAGCCCUCAAAGUAUGAAACUACUAAAAUAAAACAUUGGGGAAACUCUUCAGGACAUUGGUCUGAGCAAAGAUUUCUUGAGUAAUACCCCACAAGCACAGGCAACCAAAGUGAAAAUGGACAAAUGAGGUCAUAUCAAGUUAAAAACCUUCUGCAAAGCAAAGGAAACAAACAACAAAGUUAAGAGACAACCCACAGAAUGGAAGAAAAUAAUUGCAAACUAUCCAUCUGACCAGGGAUUAAUAAUUAGAAUACCCAAGGAGCUCAAACAAUUUAAUAAGAAAAAAAAUCUAAUAAUCCAAUUAGAAAAUGGGCAAAAUAUUUGAAUAGACAUUUCCCAAAGAAGACAUACAAAUGGCAAACGGGCAUAUGAAAACCUGCUCAAUAUUAUUGAUCAUCAGAGAAAUGCAAAUCAAAAGUACUAUGAGAUAUCACAACAGUUAAAAUGGCUUGUAUUCAAAAGACAGGCAAUAAUGAAUGUUGGUAAGGAUGUGGAGAAAAGGGAACCCUUGUACACUGUUGGUGGGAAUGUAAAUCAGUAACCACUAUGGAGAACAGUUUGGAGGUUUCUCAAAAAACUAAAAACAGAACUACCAUAUGAUCCAGCAAUACCACUGCUAGAUAUAUACCCAAAAGAAAGGAAAUCAGUAUAUUAGAGAGAGAUCUACAGUCCCAUGUUCAUUGAGGCACAAUAGCAAAGAUUUGAAAGCAAUAGCAAAGAUUUGAAAGCAGCCUAAGUGUUCAUCAACAGAAGAAUGGAUAAGGAAAGCUGGUAAUAUACACAACGAAGUGCUAUUCAGCCAUAAAAAAGAAAGAGAUCCUGUCAUUUGCAAGGACAUGGAUGGAACCGGAGGUUAUUAUGUUAACUGAAAUAAUCCGGAUACUCAAACUUUGCACGUUCUCACUCAUUUGUGGGAGCUAAAACUUGAAACAAUUGAACUUGUGGAGAUAGAGAAUAGAAGUAUGUUACCAGAGGC